GGUUCCAUAGUAUAGUGGUUAGCACAUCUGCUUUACACGUAAAAGGUCCUGGGUUCAUGCCCCAUUGGAACCA
Molecule: transfer RNA, 73 nt
Filed under: Pteropus alecto (black flying fox)
Lineage: Eukaryota; Metazoa; Chordata; Mammalia; Chiroptera; Pteropodidae
Also listed under: 1 other name
Rfam family: tRNA
About the family: Transfer RNA (tRNA) molecules are approximately 80 nucleotides in length. Their secondary structure includes four short double-helical elements and three loops (D, anti-codon, and T loops). Further hydrogen bonds mediate the characteristic L-shaped molecular structure. tRNAs have two regions of fundamental functional importance: the anti-codon, which is responsible for specific mRNA codon recognition, and the 3' end, to which the tRNAs corresponding amino acid is attached (by aminoacyl-tRNA synthetases). tRNAs cope with the degeneracy of the genetic code in two manners: having more than one tRNA (with a specific anti-codon) for a particular amino acid; and 'wobble' base-pairing, i.e. permitting non-standard base-pairing at the 3rd anti-codon position.
Source: Rfam by way of RNAcentral